This 705-nucleotide ribosomal RNA is filed under the name Staphylococcus aureus. Its description in RNAcentral is "bacterial SSU rRNA". It matches the Rfam family "Bacterial small subunit ribosomal RNA", at positions 202 to 898 of the family's 1533-position model. Lineage: Bacteria; Bacillati; Bacillota; Bacilli; Caryophanales; Staphylococcaceae. The record is from RNAcentral.
GACGGUCUUGCUGUCACUUAUAGAUGGAUCCGCGCUGCAUUAGCUAGUUGGUAAGGUAACGGCUUACCAAGGCAACGAUGCAUAGCCGACCUGAGAGGGUGAUCGGCCACACUGGAACUGAGACACGGUCCAGACUCCUACGGGAGGCAGCAGUAGGGAAUCUUCCGCAAUGGGCGAAAGCCUGACGGAGCAACGCCGCGUGAGUGAUGAAGGUCUUCGGAUCGUAAAACUCUGUUAUUAGGGAAGAACAUAUGUGUAAGUAACUGUGCACAUCUUGACGGUACCUAAUCAGAAAGCCACGGCUAACUACGUGCCAGCAGCCGCGGUAAUACGUAGGUGGCAAGCGUUAUCCGGAAUUAUUGGGCGUAAAGCGCGCGUAGGCGGUUUUUUAAGUCUGAUGUGAAAGCCCACGGCUCAACCGUGGAGGGUCAUUGGAAACUGGAAAACUUGAGUGCAGAAGAGGAAAGUGGAAUUCCAUGUGUAGCGGUGAAAUGCGCAGAGAUAUGGAGGAACACCAGUGGCGAAGGCGACUUUCUGGUCUGUAACUGACGCUGAUGUGCGAAAGCGUGGGGAUCAAACAGGAUUAGAUACCCUGGUAGUCCACGCCGUAAACGAUGAGUGCUAAGUGUUAGGGGGUUUCCGCCCCUUAGUGCUGCAGCUAACGCAUUAAGCACUCCGCCUGGGGAGUACGACCGCAAGGUUGAA